CAAAAAACAAAAACAGUUUAAAAAAAUGCAGGAUGUUCAAUGUUAUAAACCCAUCCUGACCAACAACGUUCAUUAACAACAUGACUCCUGUUAGUAUAUGAAAAGAUUAAAAAAAAGAAGAAGAAGAAAAGGAAAAAUAAUUAUUUUCUGCAUGCUUUACUAGUUGUAGGUUUAAAGCAAGCUCCAAUAGUAAGCCACACAGAGUUACAAACAGGAGCAGCUCUUUUGGAAAAUUACAAGAUGAAACAUUCCUUGAAGAUCUAGGAAUUGCACGAAGCUUUCAGUCCUAGGACAAAAGGGAAAGGCUCAAUGCGAUAUUCAAGCACAAGCAGCACUCUCCAGAAAAAACAAACAAGCAAACAUAAUCUGACAUGGUACAAGGUAUAUUCAAAAGCAAGCACUGAUUCGCGAUCACCAAAUGGUGAUUUGGGGUUAGCAAUCACAUCGUUUAGAAGACCACACAGACAUCCAUGUUAUCUCUAGCAUUUGUAGCGCCUUGGCUCCAAAGCAAACAGAGCCCACAGCACGAGGAAUGGCACAUCCUCCUAAAGGAACAGACCAGAUGGAGCUUCUGAAGGCAACUUGUUUACUUUGCAGUAAAAGUCUGCUCCAGACUUGCAACAGCAUGAAGGAGUUAAUCUGAAUCUGCAGGCCAGAGGUGAAGGGCAAAGCAGCACACACCGACCCAAAAGCCACGAUGCAGCCAGGGAAGUGUCUUCUAAAAAAGCUCUGAGGAAAUAUUUUUCAUCAUUACCUAGAAAGGAGUAGGUGGCAGGCAGUCUGCAUUAGCCAAGACCAAAAAAAAUAAACACCAAAAAAAAAAAACACACAAAAAAAACCAUGAAUUAACAUGUUGGCAACAGAGAAGAGAGGGGUGCUUUUAGCAGAUGGCAAUUAAGGAUUUGGCAAGCAUCUGGAGGCAAGGAAAGAGUGUGAGUCAAAGAUAACGCUAAUAUCUCAAGUUCAGAUAGCAGAGAAAGAUAGAGACACAAUGAGAAAUGCACGGCGGAGAAGUAAUGUACUCAGGCAGCAGUACAACAUCCACAAGGCCCUACAGAGCAAACAAGCAGAGGUGCAGGGGGCUGCAAAAAAA
This is a long non-coding RNA of Oxyura jamaicensis (ruddy duck), 1093 nucleotides long. RefSeq lists it as uncharacterized. NCBI's taxonomy places the organism in Eukaryota, Metazoa, Chordata, Aves, Anseriformes, Anatidae. The record is from RefSeq and is a predicted model, not a curated record. The transcript is spliced from 2 exons.